Molecule: transfer RNA, 72 nt
Filed under: Rattus norvegicus (Norway rat)
Lineage: Eukaryota; Metazoa; Chordata; Mammalia; Rodentia; Muridae
Rfam family: tRNA
About the family: Transfer RNA (tRNA) molecules are approximately 80 nucleotides in length.
Source: Rfam by way of RNAcentral
GGGGAUUUAGCUCAGUGGUAGAGCACUUGCCUAGCAAGCACAAGGCCCUGGGUUCUUUGGUCCCCAGCUCCA